RNAcentral lists this ribosomal RNA (482 nucleotides) under uncultured bacterium. Its description in RNAcentral is "partial 16S ribosomal RNA". It matches the Rfam family "Bacterial small subunit ribosomal RNA", at positions 30 to 507 of the family's 1533-position model. The record is from RNAcentral.
AUUGAACGCUGGCGGCAUGCUCUACACAUGCAAGUCGAACGGUAACAGGCCGCAAGGUGCUGACGAGUGGCGAACGGGUGAGUAAUGCAUCGGAACGUGCCCAGUCGUGGGGGAUAACUACUCGAAAGAGUAGCUAAUACCGCAUACGAUCUAUGGAUGAAAGCGGGGGACCGUAAGGCCUCGCGCGAUUGGAGCGGCCGAUGUCAGAUUAGGUAGUUGGUGGGGUAAAGGCUCACCAAGCCAACGAUCUGUAGCUGGUCUGAGAGGACGACCAGCCACACUGGGACUGAGACACGGCCCAGACUCCUACGGGAGGCAGCAGUGGGGAAUUUUGGACAAUGGGCGCAAGCCUGAUCCAGCAAUCCCGCGUGCAGGAAGAAGGCCUUCGGGUUGUAAACUGCUUUUGUACGGAACGAAACGGCUCUGGUUAAUACCCGGGGCUAAUGACGGUACCGUAAGAAUAAGCACCGGCUAACUACGUG